UACGGAGGGGGCAAGCGUUAUUCGGAAUUAUUGGGCGUAAAGGGCGCGUAGGCGGCUUGGCAAGUGGAAGGUGAAAUCCCUCGGCUUAACCUAGGAACUGCCCUCCAAACUGCUUCGCUUGAGACCGGGAGAGGUGAGUGGAAUUCCCAGUGUAGCGGUGAAAUGCGUAGAUAUUGGGAGGAACACCAGUGGCGAAGGCGGCUCACUGGACCGGUACUGACGCUGAUGCGCGAAAGCGUGGGGAGCAAACGGG
This 253-nucleotide ribosomal RNA is filed under the name uncultured bacterium. RNAcentral describes it as "partial 16S ribosomal RNA". It matches the Rfam family "Bacterial small subunit ribosomal RNA", at positions 524 to 776 of the family's 1533-position model. The record is from RNAcentral.